GUGGGGAAUAUUGGACAAUGGGCGCAAGCCUGAUCCAGCCAUGCCGCGUGAGUGAUGAAGGCCCUAGGGUUGUAAAGCUCUUUCACCGGAGAAGAUAAUGACGGUAUCCGGAGAAGAAGCCCCGGCUAACUUCGUGCCAGCAGCCGCGGUAAUACGAAGGGGGCUAGCGUUGUUCGGAAUUACUGGGCGUAAAGCGCACGUAGGCGGACAUUUAAGUCAGGGGUGAAAUCCCGGGGCUCAACCCCGGAACUGCCUUUGAUACUGGGUGUCUGGAGUAUGGAAGAGGUAGGUGGAAUUCCGGGUGUAGAGGUGAAAUUCGUAGAUAUUCGGAGGAACACCAGUGGCGAAGGCGGCUUACUGGUCCAUUACUGACGCUGAGGUGCGAAAGCGUGGGGAGCAAACAGGAUUAGAUACCCGGGUAGUCC
Molecule: ribosomal RNA, 425 nt
Filed under: uncultured bacterium
Lineage: Bacteria
Description: partial 16S ribosomal RNA
Rfam family: Bacterial small subunit ribosomal RNA
Source: RNAcentral